This 305-nucleotide ribosomal RNA is filed under the name uncultured bacterium. Its description in RNAcentral is "bacterial SSU rRNA". It matches the Rfam family "Bacterial small subunit ribosomal RNA", at positions 338 to 659 of the family's 1533-position model. The record is from RNAcentral.
CCUACGGGGCGCAGCAGUGGGGAAUAUUGCACAAUGGGGGAAACCCUGAUGCAGCGACGCCGCGUGAGCGAUGAAGUAUUUCGGUAUGUAAAGCUCUAUCAGCAGGGAAGAAAAUGACGGUACCUGACUAAGAAGCCCCGGCUAACUACGUGCCAGCAGCCGCGGUAAUACGUAGGGAGCAAGCGUUGUUCGGAAUGACUGGGCGUAAAGGGUGCGUAGGCGGUUGUACAAGUUAGAAGUGAAAUACCCAGGGCUUAACUCGGGUGCUGCUUCUAAAACUGUAUGACUUGAGUGCAGUAGAGGUU